Molecule: ribosomal RNA, 460 nt
Filed under: uncultured bacterium
Lineage: Bacteria
Description: partial 16S ribosomal RNA
Rfam family: Bacterial small subunit ribosomal RNA
Source: RNAcentral
CCUACGGGUGGCAGCAGUGAGGAAUAUUGGUCAAUGGACGAGAGUCUGAACCAGCCAAGUAGCGUGAAGGAUGACUGCCCUAUGGGUUGUAAACUUCUUUUAUAUGGGAAUAAAACGUUCCACGUGUGGGAUUUUGUAUGUACCAUAUGAAUAAGGAUCGGCUAACUCCGUGCCAGCAGCCGCGGUAAUACGGAGGAUCCGAGCGUUAUCCGGUUUUAUUGGGUUUAAAGGGUGCGUAGGUGGGUUGUUAAGUCAGUUGUGAAAGUUUGCGGCUCAACCGUAAAAUUGCAGUUGAAACUGGCAGUCUUGAGUACAGUAGAGGUGGGCGGAAUUCGUGGUGUAGCGGUGAAAUGCUUAGAUAUCACGAAGAACUCCGAUUGCGAAGGCAGUUCACUGGACUGCAACUGACGCUGAGGCUCGAAAGUGUGGGUAUCAAACAGGAUUAGAUACCCCUGUAGUC